CCUACGGGAGGCAGCAGUUAGGAAUCUUGCGCAAUGGGCGAAAGCCUGACGCAGCAACGCCGCGUGAGGGAUGAAGGCUCUCGGGUUGUAAACCUCUUUCAGCAGGAACGAAAUUGACGGUACCUGCAGAAGAAGCUCCGGCCAACUACGUGCCAGCAGCCGCGGUAAU
This 169-nucleotide ribosomal RNA is filed under the name uncultured Actinomycetes bacterium. Its description in RNAcentral is "uncultured actinobacterium partial 16S ribosomal RNA". It matches the Rfam family "Bacterial small subunit ribosomal RNA", at positions 338 to 524 of the family's 1533-position model. The record is from RNAcentral. Lineage: Bacteria; Bacillati; Actinomycetota; Actinomycetes.